This is a long non-coding RNA of Scatophagus argus, 409 nucleotides long. RefSeq lists it as uncharacterized. The record is from RefSeq and is a predicted model, not a curated record. The transcript is spliced from 4 exons. Lineage: Eukaryota; Metazoa; Chordata; Actinopteri; Scatophagidae.
UUGAGCACACCUGUUCCUCAUUGAAGCCAAUCACCUCCACUCUAAUGCUGACUUUUAAGACCAGCUCUGCAUGCCUGAGCGAAUAUUUUUCUUCAGAGUUUUCUUCACUCAAGCUCAGCUCUAUUCAUCGAGACAAAUCGUCGCCAUUUCUGACUGCUGUACCUCUGAAAACCGCAUGCUGCAAGGCAACUUGUCUUACUGGCACCAACGAGCUGUUGCUGUCAGUCUCAGCUGCAUAUGGCGUAUUUAACAAGCUGCUCUUGUCUGGUAACUCUAUCAGAGUUAAUACGCAGCAGGCCUGAUCUCUGAGGGACUCGGGUUCUGAGCAACCAUAAUCCUCAGACAGCCCAUAUCACACAGGAGCAGACGCAAGAGGUCCACGCCAAUUUGACUCUGCCAUGGUGAGAAG